Long non-coding RNA from Cotesia glomerata, 880 nucleotides. RefSeq lists it as uncharacterized. Lineage: Eukaryota; Metazoa; Arthropoda; Insecta; Hymenoptera; Braconidae. The record is from RefSeq and is a predicted model, not a curated record. The transcript is spliced from 5 exons.
UCCUAAAAUUGAAAAAACUUUAAAGCUACAAGAAACUAAAAAAUGGGUGAUGAUCCUGAGAAAAAAAUUAAAUUAACCCCCUCGGCAGACAUCGAAAAGCUUAGACCCGGUAUAGCUUGUCAAUUGAUCGGUUUUGUUGACGCUAUUGAGUCCGAAAGACGUUAUCCGGGGAAACGCGUAUUUAAAUUUAUCCUAAACAAUGGAGAUGGAUUACGUGUACAAGUGAAUUGCUGGGGUGAUGAAAUUAAACGCUCAAAAAAGGAAGUAUUGAUGGAUCAUGUUAUCUAUUUAGAGAAUGCCUGGUGCGUUAAUAAUUCAAAUUACAAUAAAUCAAAUUUCCACGGAGCGAAAAUUCCUAUUGGAACAUACACCAAUAUUGAAAACUUAGGCUAGUACAAUCAAGAGACGUGCGAAAUGACACCUUCUGAACCAACUGUUCUUAAUGAAAUUCCAUUAGAUACGCUUGGAAACGCAUUUUUGCCUUAGAAAUUUAAAACUUCUGGUUUUGUAAAAACAAAAAUGGAAAAAAUUAACUCUUCAGAUGAGACGUUCAUUAAAGGAUUUUUUACUAUCACUGAUGGUACUUUCAAGAUGGGUGUAACCGUUAAUGAAUAUAAAGAUGAUCAUGACUAUGAACGUGGAGAUCAUCUACUUUUGACAGGAUCAAUUCUUCAUUUAAAAAAUGAAGAGUUUUCAUUUGUAGUCGAUGGAAUGGCUGACAUCCAAAUAAAAGAUCAAGAGAAAAAAACUUUGAGUUGGUUACUCCAAGGAAACAAGCGUAUUAUUCUCCAAAAUUCCCACAAAAAGCCCAGAUACGAUUGAUUUCAAUUAAUUAUUAUUAUUUUUUUUUUAUUUAAUCUUGUCUAUGUUUAAAAAAUGA